UACGAAGGUGGCAUGCGUUGUUCGGAUUUACUGGGCGUAAAGGGCGCGUAGGCGGAUCUGCAAGUCAGAGGUGAAAGCCCUGGGCUCAACCCGGGAAUGGCCUUUGAGACUGCAAGUCUUGAGUGCGAGAGAGGGUGGCGGAAUACCCAGUGUAGAGGUGAAAUUCGUAGAUAUUGGGUAGAACACCGGUGGCGAAGGCGGCCACCUGGGUCGCAACUGACGCUGAGGCGCGAAAGCGUGGGGAGCAAACAGG
Molecule: ribosomal RNA, 253 nt
Filed under: uncultured bacterium
Lineage: Bacteria
Description: partial 16S ribosomal RNA
Rfam family: Bacterial small subunit ribosomal RNA
Source: RNAcentral